GAUGCCUCACUGCCUUUCUGCCGCGCCAGAAACAAUUCUUUUAAAAAAGCGGCAGAACUACAUGCGAGUUAUACAGAAAAUGGAACUAAGUCUUAAAAUCAAGUGGUGCUGCUAUCCUUUAAUGGAAGACCUUCAUCAAGUGUUGUAAUAUCUCCUUUUGUGAUGGGUAAGAUUCCAGCAAUAUUAUCUACAAUACCUCUUUGGAAGCAGCUGUUUGUUCAAGAAAAACAACAAACUUACCCAGGAUUGUCUCUGAAGGAUGAGCUGAGGAAACUCGCACAUUCUUUUGCAACAGAAGACAGAAAGCAGAGCCCUUCACUGCUGCGGUCCCCACCUGGCUGGCUCUCUUUUCGCCCACUCUAGUGCACGUGAGUCACCAAGUCUACUGCAAGGACAGUUCUGAGGCAAAGCGAAAAUCUCACUCACACUGAUUUAUGUCUACAUGUGAACAAUUACCUAUUAAUCAUUAGCACUUGAUACAGUAUGCAAGACAGA
Long non-coding RNA from Artibeus jamaicensis (Jamaican fruit-eating bat), 495 nucleotides. RefSeq lists it as uncharacterized. The transcript is spliced from 4 exons. NCBI's taxonomy places the organism in Eukaryota, Metazoa, Chordata, Mammalia, Chiroptera, Phyllostomidae. The record is from RefSeq and is a predicted model, not a curated record.